Molecule: ribosomal RNA, 834 nt
Filed under: Triticum aestivum (bread wheat)
Lineage: Eukaryota; Viridiplantae; Streptophyta; Magnoliopsida; Poales; Poaceae
Description: partial small subunit ribosomal RNA
Source: RNAcentral
AUGCUGCCGCUGUCUCGCCCCGGGUCACCGUGCUGCAACCUGUCGGGACCCCUUCAGGUGCUCUCGCUGCCUCCAGCCCGGCCAUCAUGCUCGAGGAUGCACCAACGCGUGGCGUCCGCUCAGCGAUUUGAAGACCCUGCGGCAGCACCACCUGUGCCUCCACUCGCUCCCCGGCCACCGGCUCGUGGUUGGCCUGCUCCUCCGCAAGCCCAGACGCUGCCCUCGUCGUCAUGGCCGCACCUCAGCGACGCUGCUCUACAGGUGGAAGAUUCCACUGUUCCAGAUGUGCUGCUGCAAGCACCGUUCUACUCAGGUCACGCGGCGACUGUUUGGCUCGCGGGGGCACAGUCCGAUGCUGCUUGCAAGGCUGUGGCGGUGGCCCUUGCGUCUGCUAUCGGCUCAAGCAUCGCUGAUAUCAGGGUUGUCCGUCAGUCUGUUGACAAUGUUGCUGCUGAUCAUACAGUGAAGAUCUCUCGUGCUGCUUCCCCGCCCAAGCAAACGCCUUCGUCCACCGUGUUGGUGGCUAAUUCUACUGCAAGUGAAGUUCUCCGCAUUUGCUCUCCAGCUAGGCCCGUGCUGCCCUCACCGUCUUCAUCUGCAUCGCGCCCUCCAGGAUUUGAGGCCUCUCCCGUGAUGAGCUCCGCUACACAGACUCCGCCCUUCAUCACCGACGCCACACCCCCCAGGCUCCUACUCCUGCACCUUCCAGCGUGGACGUGCUGCCGCCGAUUCUGGAGCCUCUAUUCCAGAGGCAGCAGGCAGCCUUGCUCCCCUCGCCGGCUUGGACGCCUCCUAGGCCGCCGGCUGCAUGACGCAAAACUUUGGCGGGCGUGA